UGUGACCUUCACUCACGUCAGACGCCGGUCGCCCGCUUUACUUUCCAAAAAUAACCCUCAUGUGAUUCCGGCGCCAGGAAGAGGGGUUCGAAACUCGAUUCCAGCCGAGCUGCUCUGCUGCUGGUGGACAGCCUUUGCUCAAUUAAGGAAAAAUGAUUUCUGAAGAUCAAGGUCCCAUUCUGGCAUAAAGCUCAUGAUCCAACAGGGAGCAGUGAUCCCUCCCCUCCUGAGACGUGGACUCUCUGUAGAAGGCACCGUAAAGCACUGAAAAUACAAGCAAUGUUACAUUCAUAAGAUCCACUAGCAGGCUCACGGAGUUCCUCCAGCAGAUUGUCUUUGCUCCGUAGUCCAGCUUUGUUGGGUUGUAUCAGAGCCUGGAAUGGAAACACCGAUGCCCAGCAACAGGAAAGUCUACAGAAAGUGGUGCAUCCAGCCUAAUGCAUCACAGGCAAAGCUUUGCCCACCAUUGAGCGCAUUUACAAGGAGUGCAAGAAAGCAGCAUCCGUCAUCGACAAUCCUGAUUAUCUGGGUCACGCUCUCUUCUCACUACUACUAUUGGACAGGAGGUCACGAGCCUUGGGUCCCACGCAACCAGGUUCAGGAACAGUUGCUACCCUACGACCAUCAGAUUCCUGAAAUGGUGUGGAUAACUUCACUCACCACAAUCCUGAAUUGAUUCCACAACCUACAGACUCACUUUCAAGGGCUCUACAACUUGUGUUUUCAGUACUAUUCAGUUUUAUUUUCAUAAUUUGUCUUCUUUUCUGCAUUGGUUGUUUGUCAGUCUUUAUGUAUGGUUGCCAAUUAAUUUAUUGUAAUUUCUUUGUUUUCUUGUAAAUGCGGUGCAAGUAAAUGAAUUUCAGGGUAGUAAUACAGUGACAUUUACCUUUGGUAAUAAAUCUACCUUGACUUUGAUAUUUGUACACCCGAUGCCAGACUCCUAAAACGAGCCCUGAUUUCCAAGGUCUGUCAUGCAAAGUGAUUACUGGCCAGACAGAGGAAAAGAUUCAAAGAUAUGAUCAAAGUCAUCUUGACAAAUUGCAAUAUCACUUCUGAAUCCUGACUACUCGAAGUAUAGAAGUUAUAUUCAGAAUGGUAUUAUAAACCUUUCUACCAGAUUCCAUUCUAUCAAUGAAUACUUUGUAAUAAGAGGAAAAUAAUUGUCUUAUCUCCCAACUAAUAAUAAACUCAUAUCUAAGCUUGAGGUAGUGUGUUCAGGUGGAUGUGAAAUAAUACAUUUCAAAAUUAACAUCAAAGGAUGAUUCUGGUUUACUUUAUAAGAGAUCAUGAGCAUUUUUUAAAAAACGAGAAAACUAGAGUAAAUUGAAGUUGAGAAAAAAAAUGAUUUUGGCCAUCAUCAGUCUAGAGUGUCAGAGCUACCAUUAGCCACCAUUCCCUUCGAGACUUGUUAAAGGCAUUAUUUACAUGAAGGUUUUUCUGUCAUUAUUUGGAACUGAUUAUCUUAAUAAAUUAAUGCACAUUUCCAGUGAUACAGUUCAUUAGAUGUACUUUAAAUUCUUGGGAAAAGAGUCACAGAUUUGUAUAUCUGAAAAACAGGUUCACAGUGUCCACGCUGAUGCACCUAUACUAAUGCUAUUUAUCAUCCUCUUGAAAAGUUCGCACAUCCUUCCUGAUAAUGAAGCAACCAGAACUGAAAACAGUAAUCCAAAUGUGGUCCAACCAGGGUUUUAUCGAGCUGUAACAUUACUUCAUGGCUCUUGAACUCAUGCCUAAUGAAGGCCACACGUUACACCUUCUUAACCAUCCUUAUCAACUUAAUGUGGCCACUGUAUGGGAUCCAUGGAUGUGUACCCCACGAUCCAUCUGUUCCACCACAUUGCUAAGAAUGUUGCCAUUAACCCUGUACUCUACUCUCAAGCUCAAUUUUCCAAAGUACAUCACUUCACACUUAUCCGAAUUGAACUCCAUCUACCUCUCCUCAGCUAUGCCCUGCAGUCUAUCAAUGUCAAGUCGCUUUUUAUUGUCAUUUCAACCAUAAACUGUUGGUACGCUACACAGUACGAAACGAUGUUUCUCCAGGACCAUGGCGCUACAUGAAACAACACAAAACAACACUAGACCUGCACAGGUUUACAUAAAGUGCACAAAGCAGUGCAGGGCAGUACAAUAAUUAAUUAAUAAAUAACUAAUUAAUAAACAAAACAAUAGGCACAGUAGAGGACAAAUUUCAAUAUAAUAAUAAAUGACGUAGAUGUCAGUCUAGACUCUGGGUACAGAGGAGUCUGAUGGCUUCCAUAUGUAACCUAUGAAAACCUUCAAGGAUGAUGUAACUUUUAUGGAUAUGCCAUAUAGGCAAAUCUGAUCCUCAGUACUUCUAUUAGUGAUGUGGUGUAGAAUUCAAAGUCAAUAGAAAUGAAAAAUUCACAAGUAUCAACUGCAUAAAGCUAAGGAAAUAUGCAAAGCUUGCGCUUUGAUUAUUUUACCUCUGCCACACAGCAUACUAAAUGCUGGUGUAUCAGUCAGUUGAAUUGACUAGGGAGAUGCAUCAGAAUUAAUCAGAAAUAAAUCAUGGAAUUUUAAUUACAAAAAAGAGCAAAUUUAGCUUCUUAUUCCUGUGGUAGCUCUUGUAAAGAGAUAUCUAAGCAGUCCAUUUUUCGAUGUCUGUCAUUUCUUCUUGUCCUGCAUAUUUUUAAGUAUAUAUCCAAUUUGCAGUGUUCUUAUUAGGACAGGUCAGAAGGCGAGAGAGCAAAUUUCAGUGCAAUCAUGAUGAGACUUCAAAGAUCGUGCAAAAAAUUAAAGAUAAGGGAUCAUGAGCAUUUUUUUUUAAAACCGAGAAAACUUGAGUAAACUGAAGUUGAGAAAAAAAAUGAUUUUGGCCAUCAUCAGGCCAGAGUGUCAGAGCUACCAUUAGCCAGCAUUCCCUUCGAGACUUGUUAAAGGCAUUAUUUACAUGAAGGUUUUUCUGUCAUUAUUUGGAACUGAUUAUCUUAAUAAAUUAAUGCACAUUUCCAGUGAUACAGUUCAUUAGAUGUACUUUAAAUUCUUGGGAAUAGUCACAGAUUUGUAUACCUGAAAAACAGGUUCACAGUGUCCAUGCAUAUCACACAUAACCAUCUUUAACAAUUCAAAACGUACAUCCUUUUCAGACUUGAAUUUUAAUAGUCAAACAUACUUACAGAAAACAAGUGGCAAGAAAAAUGUUUUUGAAACUUCAUAUUUUGUCUAUAAAUAAACUUACAUGACAGAAUAUAUAACACAUGUACACUAAUUUUCCAUGUUAUAACUCUUUGGUAUUCAAAUAUGCAAAUAUGCAUCCUUAAUAUGUACGCUUGAUUAUUGCAUAGCAAGAGUAUUCUUAAGCAUUUGCUUUAAUUACCAUCAAACGUUUUGUAGAAAUAUGAAUUUCUACUAUAGAAGUUAAAGCUGCUUAAUUGUCUACUUUUCUGACAUCAGAAAUAUGAGAAGACAGUAGCAAUGUUAGUAUUGAAAAUUAAAAUAAUUUUAUAAAUAAUAUAUAUUCUCAUGCUUUAUUGAAUGACAGUUCUGACAGAUACAUGGACAGUAAAGCUUUAGAAAUAUCUCCAUAGUUGUAAAGGUAAAAUACAAUAAUAUUUUGUGCUUAGCAAGAGAUAACAACAAAUAUUUAUGCAGAAUAGUGCUAAUUAUUGUGCCAUUCAGAAAGGAUAUAUAAGACUUUGAUUUUGCAUUGAAUCCUAAGCUGUCAAAAAGGGAAAAGGUCCCUAGAAAGAUGAGUGCAGAAAGGACAGUUCAUUUCACAUCUUUAAUGUAGACAUGACCCCCAGGAGGACCACAGCCUUGUGGUAGGGUUUGGAGUCUUGCAUGCCUCAAUGACCCAGAGAGCCAAUUUGGCUAAAGUCAAAGCCUUGUGCUUUGGCUGUUGGUAGGGUCACCCACGCCAAACAACUCAAAGGGUAAAGGUCAGACUAAGUGUGGUCCACCGGUCCUCCAGGUUUGAUGGUUCAACUCAGGGCUAACAACUCUGACUGGUCAAAAAAAGUUGUUAGGGAAACAGCAAUGAAGAAUCCUUUUACCUCUGUGUGUGUUGGUAUGGACGUACAGAAAUGGCGGACCUUCACUGCUGCCCUAAAUGUCAGCGGCAUAAUGGGCAGUAAAUAAGUAAUGCAGACAUGAAUGUCUAAUUACUUAUACCUAUGAGAGAGAGUUUGAAAUUUCAGCCUGAUUGGUAUUUAGGAUAUUGUGCAUGAUUAACUACUGAUAAACAGUAAGAAAGCUACGGUAAUAAUUGUAAUGAUCAUCUUCACUGCAGAAAUGAGAGCUUGUUUAAAAAAAAAUGCAUUAACUCUUGAAGAACAGGGAAUUCUUCUAGUGCCCUCGCUAAAAUUUAUCCCUCAAUCAUUAAUAUAAUCAACUAUAAUAAAUUAUCCCUCAUUAAUACUAUUGAGACAUUAUGGCAUACAAUUGGUCGACAAAUUCCCAUUCAUUGUAAUAACAGCUGAUUAUCUCUUCGGAAAAGUAUGAAAGUCAAAGGCAGGGUUUUGUUUUCUGGUGCGUAUUCCAACAUCAAAUGAUGAAAUCAUUAGAUUGCUUACUUUUUUGUGCCUUUCUCACUUAGAAUUCCUGUUAACUUCUCAAUUAGGUAUUAGCUCAUUGAGACAUUCAAAACAUUUUAAAAUUGAAUACUGCAACCUUUUCCAAUUGAUUACCAGAUUCAAUUCUGUUCCAAGAGUUCAGUUUAUUCUUUCAAUACCUCAAAUUGAUUCUUUAUUGCGUGGGUACUUCAAACGAAUAAAGCCUGGUGUAUCUGGUAGGCCGCUGUUAAGGUAAUGGAAGUGGCCAUCAGUUGCUAGAAAGCUGAUUUCAUAUGGAGUCUGAAGUGAAAUGAUAUUGUCAGGCUAUAUGUUAAUCACAAACUAAGCCUGUGAGGCAAUCUGAAACAUGAAAAUACUGAAGCUUUUCAAAGUAGCAAAUACUGAAUUAAAGUGAAAGAUAAAUCAAAAAAUAUAAAUUGAAGAACAGAAAGCAGAAGGUUUUCACACAACAAACGGAAGGUUUGUCACAUAACAAUAUUCCAGGAUUUGAAUUAGUUUAAUGAGACCUCAGCAAAUUGACUGUGAGCCAUUAGGAUUUGCUGCUGUUGCGUAGCACAGAAUAGGAGAAUCAUGUAGCACUUCUAAUAUUUGCCAUUCGGUGGUGCUAUGUCUGUUAGGGCACUUUCUGGACUGAGGGUGUAUUGCAAAAUAUUAACUUCAGCAACCAAUCUUUAGACCUGAACGAGGACUGUAGAUUCAAUUAAAAAUGCAGCUCUGGACAAUUGGUUCUCAGAGCUGUGAACAGCAGUUAAAUUGAAAAAUGAGACAAUACUGAUUUAACAUUCAUUUUCGAUGUCUGGGAUUUGGGUGUGAGGAAGGUGGUGAGAAAGUUACAUGUAAUUCAAAGGAAGCACUGUAGAUACAUAGUAAAUAUAGAAUUGACAUUUGAUCUUUAGCAUACAAAAUGUCAUGUAAUAUUGGGUUGAACAACCUCUUCCUCUGAAAAGGUCUCAAUACGAUGCCUGCAGUGUCUCAUUUUGUUGAAUAAAAGACUAUUUCAUAUCUAUGUCUCUAGGGUGACUUUGUUCACAUUACAACGUCAAUCCUUCAAUUCAUUGUUCAAUGAAGAAUAAUUGAACAAGGAUGGACUAUAAUGUUCUUUCCAAAAUAGUUAAAAGGUUAACCAAUUAGCUAUUACCAAAUUUUUACAAAAUCUAUAGUUUUAAAUAAAUACCAUGAAUUCAAAUUAACAAGAUUUAAAACAUUUUACAGUUCAAGUUGAUUUUAGUUACUUUGUAAUCUACCAAAGGUUAUCUUUGAUAGUCCUGAAGUAAUAAAACAAAAUAUUAAAACUAGCAGUGAACACUGAUUACCAAAUUUGCAUAUAGAGAAAGCAGCUUUAUUGUCACAAAUUAAUGGAUUGAAUCCAGUUCGUCAAUUGUAGAGAUAGUGGGAAAUGAUUGAUUUAAGGCCAAUGAAUUUAACAGAGUAACAUGUUACCUGCUCACCUUCUGCAUUCAAACAGUAAGAAGUUUACAACACACAGUGCCCCAGAACCGAAUCUUGCUGAAUUGUUUUCGUUUGUGUUUGACUUGUUAAACAACAAGAAUAUAUAUGGCUCUGAGGAGUAAAGAGUGAUAUUAUCAGGUGACACACUGAUUCAUGUGAAGUCAAAGUGAGAAGCUGUACUGGGAACUGGAUAAUGAUUGGGGCCACUAGAUUUGUCCAUCUUUUUUCACUCAUGAGAUUGAUUUAGAAUUGGAAAGUGUGCAGGAGAUUGAAAGUGUGCUUAAAAUGAGGAACAUGUGAGCAUUAGUUGAUUGGCUCUGUGAUGAUAUUUAAAUCACAUCAUGCCUUGUGUCUGAAUGAUACUGUGGAGCUUUUUUUUUUAUCCUCCAAACACGUGUAACUUUAAUGCUUCAUUCAGUUCAUGCAGCAUACCAAAAUAAAUGUGAUUUCCUUCUGCUUGCAGAGCUGCUCUGGAGAUGAACAAUGGAAUGGGGUCCAUUAUAAUUAAUUUCUCAUCAUGCACAGGAGCUUUGAAAACUUGGUUCAAAUGAGUUUAAUUCUGGUCAUUCAUCAGCAGAUUUUACAGACUUCUAUUCAUUUUUAGAGGACACUGCCUAAUGCCUUUGAGGAGAGACUCUACCCCAGACUCACUGACUAGGGAGCUAGAAGGCAAUAAAAAAGUAGCCUGGACUCUCAAAAAUACUGAAAAUACCCAAAA
Long non-coding RNA from Hypanus sabinus (Atlantic stingray), 6699 nucleotides. RefSeq lists it as uncharacterized. The record is from RefSeq and is a predicted model, not a curated record. The transcript is spliced from 3 exons. Lineage: Eukaryota; Metazoa; Chordata; Chondrichthyes; Myliobatiformes; Dasyatidae.